AGAUGACAGACAGAGUCAAGUUGCUUCACCUGCCUGCACUCUAUUUGCUAAUUACUGUAAUGAGUGUCACCUGCAGUAAUUAGUUCACUCCAUUGACUGUUCUCUACCUCACCUCCAGUAUUUAAGCUCUGUGCUUCCAGUCACUCAUCGCUGGAUCAUCGGCUCACAUCCCUCCAUGGCUUCUGCUGUGUUCCUGGAUUGUGGGUUUCCCCACCAAGCCUUCUGCUGCUUGUCAGCUUCAGCCUCUUGGACUCAACAGAUUUUGCUGUCCUGGAUUUUGCUCUUGUGGACUCGGUUCAACUCCUGUCUGUUUUUGGAUGCUCCCCAGUCUUCAGUCUGCCAAUUUUGUUUCCCCACUAGCUUCUGGGUUCUCCUAGCCUGCCUAGCCUUUAGUUUGGUUUUCCCCUGGUUUUUGUAAGUACAUUGCUGUGUUUGGUUCAGGUUAUUCCUGUUUGGUUUUGUGGUUUUUGUUGGUUUGGUAGUGUAGUUUCUUUUAGUGUUGAUUGUGGUUUAGUUUGUCUGCUGGAGUCUGUUUCACGAAGCGGGUUCAACAAACUGUUGUUGGUUAAAUCAACUCGGAGUAGUUUCCCCCCGGAGUUAAGCAUGUGCACCACAGCUCUGAAAAGCCAGUAUCAAUGGAGCGCUGAUUUGAUGAGUCACCAUGGCAACGGAAAGAACUGCAACACUGCUGCAGCUGCAAAUGAGAGGGAAACAGCGUGGGAGAGGAGUGCAGCAUGGCUCAAUGCGUGCAAAAGGGAGACUGCCUGGGAGAACAUUGCUGCCCGAGUCAAUAUGUAAGUUGAAACCACAACAGUGUAGUGGGGAAAACUGUGAUGGUAACCUGUUCUGUUAUUUUAUGUAGGUGCAAUCCUGUGGGGGAGAAAUGUAUGUGACAAACGGGUAAGAAGCAUUUAUCACUGGAUAGACUGGAAGACAAAUUCUGGCUGUUCUGUUACCUCCACUGUGUGUUUGUUGAGUCUUCUCCUCUACAGGCUGGGGACCUGGAACCUUUGACUGAAUUUUAAGUAACUAUUCACAGGCUUUCUAUCUUUUGGGACCAGCGUAGCGGCCUAUCUACCUAUAGCACGUCUCUCUAUACAGAUAGUUAUACUAGCUAUCCAGCUGAAUGACUACACAUUCUCACCCAUUCACAUCUGACAACCACAAAACACAUCAUGUCAUACAUCAACAAUAUUUAACAAACACACAUCACUGAAAGACUCACUUGCCUUAAUAACAAAAUCUAAACAUCAUAAACAAAUAUCCAUUUCAACUCUCUAAAGAACGUUAAUGUCACACUGACACAAAACUAAGACUUCCCAGUUUACUAAGUAACAUGACUUCCUUUACUCAACACAUACUACUUUCACCCAAAAUUAAACACAUGCAUCACAACUAGAAAAACACUUCAAUGUAACCCCAAUGCCACCAUAACAACAGAAGCACUGAAAACUACACCCUUUGAAUUGAAAAUCUGAAUACAACUAUGUAACAAAUUUGAACACCUUUUUCAAAUGAAAUACAUCACUACAGCUGCAAAACACAACAAAAUAGCAUGAAACAACAUUAAUACCCAGCUCAAACUGUAACUUUAAAUCACCAUAAUACAAAAGAAACCUGUUUCAAUGACACACUGCUACAUUAUUUCAUUUAACUGCAAGCCUGUGGUAUAUAAACACAUACAACAAGACCUUAAAAUGAAAUGUAACACCAUAUUUAAUAAGACAAAAACAUCAGCAUAAUAUCAUACAGCUACCUCAUUUUAAAUGUAUUUUACAUUGUCAAAGAACAGACAUAUUAAGUAGCUGUUUGCCUGUGCAACAGUUUUAUCUAACACACCCUAAAUAUCUGUAUCCAUAUCAACUUACAUUAAAUAAUUAACCCUAUUUCAACAAAUACCUCUACUCAGCCAAGUCACUCUCUAUAUAUC
Molecule: long non-coding RNA, 1930 nt
Organism: Amphiprion ocellaris (clown anemonefish)
Lineage: Eukaryota; Metazoa; Chordata; Actinopteri; Pomacentridae
Source: Ensembl